GAGACUAUACUUUCAGGGAUCAUUUCUAUAGUUUGUUACUAGAGAAGUUCCUCUGAACGUGUAGAGUACCCGAAACCACGAGGAGGAGGCACAAGGUUCUCUCCUGAGCCAGAGGCUAGCUUUAG
RNAcentral lists this small nucleolar RNA (125 nucleotides) under Ursus thibetanus thibetanus. Its description in RNAcentral is "Small nucleolar RNA U3 (ENSUTTG00000019401.1)". It matches the Rfam family "Small nucleolar RNA U3", at positions 1 to 126 of the family's 219-position model. Rfam says of the family: Small nucleolar RNAs (snoRNAs) are involved in the processing and modification of rRNA in the nucleolus. There are two main classes of snoRNAs: the box C/D class, and the box H/ACA class. Lineage: Eukaryota; Metazoa; Chordata; Mammalia; Carnivora; Ursidae. The record is from RNAcentral.